GGCUCAGGAUAAACGCGGCGGGCGUGCCUAAAACAUGUAAGUCGAACGAAGGGUUUGUAGCAAUACGGACCCUUAGUGGCGAAUGGGUGAGUAACGCGUUGGUGACCUGCCCCGAAGAGGGGGAUAACAGUUCGAAAGGACUGCUAAUACCCCAUGUGGUCAAACGGAUUUAGAAACCGUUGUCUAAAGGAGUAAUCCGCUUCGGGAGGGGCCUGCGUCCCAUCAGCUAGUUGGUAGGGUAAUGGCCUACCAAGGCUACGACGGGUAGGGGGCCUGAGAGGGUGGCCCCCCACAUUGGCACUGAAACACGGGCCAAACACCUACGGGUGGCAGCAGUUGGGAAUAUUGCACAAUGGGCGAAAGCCUGAUGCAGCAACGCCGCGUGCGCGAUGAAGGCCUUCGGGUCGUAAAGCGCUUUUUGAGGAGAUGAGGAAGGACAGUAUCCUCAGAAUAAGGAUCGGCUAACUACGUGCCAGCAGCCGCGGUAACACGUAGGAUCCGAGCGUUAUCCGAAUUUACUGGGCGUAAAGCGCGUGCAGGCGGUUUGGUAAGUUGGAUGUGAAAGCUCCUGGCUCAACUGGGAGAGGCCGUUCAAAACUACCAGACUAGAGGGUGGCAGAGGGAGGUGGAAUUUCCGGUGUAGUAGUGAAAUGCGUAGAUAUCGGAAGGAACACCAGUGGCGAAGGCGGCCUCCUAGACCACUCUUGACGAUAAGACGCGAAAGCUAGGGGUGCGAACGGGAUUAGAAACCCCGGUAGUCCUAGCCGUAAACGAUGUAGACUUGGUGUCGGUGGGGUAAAAGCCAUCGGCGCCGAAGCCAACGCGAUAAGUCUA
This 834-nucleotide ribosomal RNA is filed under the name uncultured bacterium. Its description in RNAcentral is "bacterial SSU rRNA". It matches the Rfam family "Bacterial small subunit ribosomal RNA", at positions 21 to 868 of the family's 1533-position model. The record is from RNAcentral.